UUGUGUCUUCGAGUCGUUGAUUUCACACUGCCGAGAAAAGCCUCUAGAUAGAAAAUAGGUGCCCGUACCGCAAACCGACACAGGUAGUCAAGAUGAGAAUUCUAAGGUGAGCGAGCGAACUCUCGUUAAGGAACUCGGCAAAAUGACCCCGUAACUUCGGGAGAAGGGGUGCUCUUUAGGGUUAACGCCCAGAAGAGCCGCAGUGAAUAGGCCCAAGCGACUGUUUAUCAAAAACACAGGUCUCUGCUAAACCGUAAGGUGAUGUAUAGGGGCUGACGCCUGCCCGGUGCUGGAAGGUUAAGAGGAGUGGUUAGCUUCUGCGAAGCUACGAAUCGAAGCCCCAGUAAACGGCGGCCGUAACUAUAACGGUCCUAAGGUAGCGAAAUUCCUUGUCGGGUAAGUUCCGACCCGCACGAAAGGCGUAACGAUUUGGGCACUGUCUCAACGAGAGACUCGGUGAAAUCAUAGUACCUGUGAAGAUGCAGGUUACCCGCGACAGGACGGAAAGACCCCGUGGAGCUUUACUGUAGCCUGAUAUUGAAAUUCGGCACAGCUUGUACAGGAUAGGUAGGAGCCUUUGAAACGUGAGCGCUAGCUUACGUGGAGGCGCUGGUGGGAUACUACCCUAGCUGUGUUGGCUUUCUAACCCGCACCACUUAUCGUGGUGGGAGACAGUGUCAGGCGGGCAGUUUGACUGGGGCGGUCGCCUCCUAAAAGGUAACGGAGGCGCUCAAAGGUUCCCUCAGAAUGGUUGGAAAUCAUUCAUAGAGUGUAAAGGCAUAAGGGAGCUUGACUGCGAGACCUACAAGUCGAGCAGGGUCGAAAGACGGACUUAGUGAUCCGGUGGUUCCGCAUGGAAGGGCCAUCGCUCAACGGAUAAAAGCUACCCCGGGGAUAACAGGCUUAUCUCCCCCAAGAGUUCACAUCGACGGGGAGGUUUGGCACCUCGAUGUCGGCUCAUCGCAUCCUGGGGCUGUAGUCGGUCCCAAGGGUUGGGCUGUUCGCCCAUUAAAGCGGUACGCGAGCUGGGUUCAGAACGUCGUGAGACAGUUCGGUCCCUAUCCGUCGUGGGCGUAGGAAAUUUGAGAGGAGCUGUCCUUAGUACGAGAGGACCGGGAUGGACAUACCUCUGGUGUACCAGUUGUCGUGCCAACGGCAUAGCUGGGUAGCUAUGUGUGGACGGGAUAAGUGCUGAAAGCAUCUAAGCAUGAAGCCCCCCUCAAGAUGAGAUUUCCCAACUUCGGUUAUAAGAUCCCUCAAAGAUGAUGAGGUUAAUAGGUUCGAGGUGGAAGCAUGGUGACAUGUGGAGCUGACGAAUACUAAUCGAUCGAAGAC
RNAcentral lists this ribosomal RNA (1335 nucleotides) under Staphylococcus aureus. Its description in RNAcentral is "partial 23S ribosomal RNA". It matches the Rfam family "Bacterial large subunit ribosomal RNA", at positions 1578 to 2925 of the family's 2925-position model. Lineage: Bacteria; Bacillati; Bacillota; Bacilli; Caryophanales; Staphylococcaceae. The record is from RNAcentral.